AGCAAAGUCAGCUAAGUAAGCUUUUGGGUUCAUACCCCAACAAUAUUGGUUAAAGUCCUUUCCUUGCUA
RNAcentral lists this transfer RNA (69 nucleotides) under Chlorophthalmus nigromarginatus. Its description in RNAcentral is "tRNA-Met". It matches the Rfam family "tRNA". Rfam says of the family: Transfer RNA (tRNA) molecules are approximately 80 nucleotides in length. The record is from RNAcentral. Lineage: Eukaryota; Metazoa; Chordata; Actinopteri; Aulopiformes; Chlorophthalmidae.